GCGGCAUGCUUUAUACAUGCAAGUCGAACGCGAAAGUGUCUUCGGACAUUAGUAGAGUGGCAAACGGGUGAGUAACGCGUGGGAAUAUACCUUAUAGUACGGAAUAGCCUCGGGAAACUGGGAUUAAUACCGUAUACACCCUGAGGGGGAAAGAUUUAUCGCUAUAAGAUUAGCCCGCGUCAGAUUAGCUAGUUGGUGGGGUAAUGGCCUACCAAGGCAACGAUCUGUAGCUGGUCUGAGAGGAUGAUCAGCCACAUUGGGACUGAGAUACGGCCCAAACUCCUGCGGGAGGCAGCAGUAGGGAAUAUUGGACAAUGGACGAAAGUCUGAUCCAGCAAUGCCGCGUGAGUGAUGAAGGCCUUAGGGUUGUAAAGCUCUUUUAGUGGGGAAGAUAAUGACGGUACCCACAGAAAAAGCACCGGCUAACUUCGUGCCAGCAGCCGCAGUAA
Molecule: ribosomal RNA, 449 nt
Filed under: uncultured bacterium
Lineage: Bacteria
Description: partial 16S ribosomal RNA
Rfam family: Bacterial small subunit ribosomal RNA
Source: RNAcentral